GACGAACGCUGGCGGCGUGCCUAAUACAUGCAAGUUGAGCGCUGAAGGUUGGUACUUGUACCAACUGGAUGAGCAGCGAACGGGUGAGUAACGCGUGGGGGAUCUGCCUUUGAGCGGGGGACAACAUUUGGAAACGAAUGCUAAUACCGCAUAAAAACUUUAAACACAAGUUUUAAGUUUGAAAGAUGCAAUUGCAUCACUCAAAGAUGAUCCCGCGUUGUAUUAGCUAGUUGGUGAGGUAAAGGCUCACCAAGGCGAUGAUACAUAGCCGACCUGAGAGGGUGAUCGGCCACAUUGGGACUGAGACACGGCCCAAACUCCUACGGGAGGCAGCAGUAGGGAAUCUUCGGCAAUGGACGAAAGUCUGACCGAGCAACGCCGCGUGAGUGAAGAAGGUUUUCGGAUCGUAAAACUCUGUUGGUAGAGAAGAACGUUGGUGGGAGUGGAAAGCUCAUCAAGUGACGGUAACUACCCAGAAGGGGACGGCUAACUACGUG
Molecule: ribosomal RNA, 497 nt
Filed under: uncultured bacterium
Lineage: Bacteria
Description: partial 16S ribosomal RNA
Rfam family: Bacterial small subunit ribosomal RNA
Source: RNAcentral